Non-coding RNA from Pelobates cultripes (western spadefoot toad), 210 nucleotides. Lineage: Eukaryota; Metazoa; Chordata; Amphibia; Anura; Pelobatidae. The record is from the annotation of a GenBank genome assembly.
GGCUAAGUAUCUGAUUACAGUCAUACAGAGUAUCCAGGAAUUGUAGCUGUCCACAUCCUGUGUUUAGUUUCUAAAAAUAUUUACCUCUUUUCUUCAGAAAUCCUACUGGUGAUGUCAUCUGAUGUAUUCAACACCCAAUUUAAGUAUUCACCUUUUCCUUCUUUCCACAGAAAAACACCCAGUACCUGCUGACAGGUAUCUUCACUCCCA